CAGCACCUCAAGUGGUCAGGAUGAUUAUUGGGCCUAAAGCAUCAGUAGCCGGCGCUGUAAGUUUUCGGUUAAAUCUGUACGCUCAACGUACAGGCUGCCGGGAAUACUGCAGCGCUAGGGAGUGGGAGAGGUAGACGGUACUCGGUAAGAAGGGGUAAAAUCCUUUGAUCUAUUGAUGACCACCUGUGGCGAAGGCGGUCUACCAGAACACGUCCGACGGUGAGGGAUGAAAGCUGGGGGAGCAAACCGGAUUAGAUACCCGAGUAGUCC
RNAcentral lists this ribosomal RNA (270 nucleotides) under uncultured archaeon. RNAcentral describes it as "partial 16S ribosomal RNA". It matches the Rfam family "Archaeal small subunit ribosomal RNA", at positions 477 to 747 of the family's 1478-position model. The record is from RNAcentral.